CCUACGGGGUGCUGCAGUGGGGAAUAUUGGACAAUGGGCGAAAGCCUGAUCCAGCCAUGCCGCGUGUGUGAAGAAGGCCUUCGGGUUGUAAAGCACUUUCAGUGGGGAAGAAAGCCUUGGGGCUAAUACCCUCGAGGAAGGACAUCACCCACAGAAGAAGCACCGGCUAACUCCGUGCCAGCAGCCGCGGUAAUACGGAGGGUGCGAGCGUUAAUCGGAAUUACUGGGCGUAAAGCGCGCGUAGGCGGUCUGAUAAGCCGGUUGUGAAAGCCCCGGGCUCAACCUGGGAACGGCAUCCGGAACUGUCAGGCUAGAGUGCAGGAGAGGAAGGUAGAAUUCCCGGUGUAGCGGUGAAAUGCGUAGAGAUCGGGAGGAAUACCAGUGGCGAAGGCGGCCUUCUGGACUGACACUGACGCUGAGGUCCGAAAGCGUGGGUAGCAAACAGGAUUAGAUACCCGUGUAGUC
This 465-nucleotide ribosomal RNA is filed under the name Vreelandella stevensii. RNAcentral describes it as "partial 16S ribosomal RNA". It matches the Rfam family "Bacterial small subunit ribosomal RNA", at positions 338 to 795 of the family's 1533-position model. Lineage: Bacteria; Pseudomonadati; Pseudomonadota; Gammaproteobacteria; Oceanospirillales; Halomonadaceae. The record is from RNAcentral.